Molecule: long non-coding RNA, 546 nt
Organism: Pteropus alecto (black flying fox)
Lineage: Eukaryota; Metazoa; Chordata; Mammalia; Chiroptera; Pteropodidae
Exons: 4
Source: RefSeq, a predicted model, not a curated record
UUAGACUGUUGGGAGAAAGAAGAAAUAAAGACCUUUGCCAAUCUACUUGCUCCGCAGACCCAUCUGAGUGAUAGGAUAUUCUCCCACGUCCCUGUGUGAAGGAUUAGGGUGACAUUAAGAUAUACCAGCAUACCAGAAUGCAGAAAAGAUCCAGUGGAGAAGGAAAAACUGGUGAUGCCAGAGAGAAAGCAGAGAAUUGCUGUAUACGGAUGUCCCUGAAUAGGCUAGAAGGAACGGGAUGAAGUGCACAGUGGAAGGCUGGUUUUCACGAGGAGUAUGGACUCAUUCAUACUAACAGAAAGAGAAACUGAGGCAGAGUAAGAUGAGUCACAUUUUCAUAAGAAAGAGUGAAAGUGGUAUGCAACCUCUCAAAUUCCUGAGACUCGAUAACAGCUUAAUUUGGACAGCAACAAAAGUUUAAUUCUUUAAACCUCUUAAAGGUUCUCAGUUUUGGAGCUUUUACUGCAUUCAUGUCCGUGUGACAUUUUUGCUCAAAUUCAACCUUGCCGUCUCCCAUUUCUCCACAAGCAUAAUUUGACUACAGAU